RNAcentral lists this transfer RNA (73 nucleotides) under Dreissena polymorpha. It matches the Rfam family "tRNA". Rfam says of the family: Transfer RNA (tRNA) molecules are approximately 80 nucleotides in length. Their secondary structure includes four short double-helical elements and three loops (D, anti-codon, and T loops). The record is from Rfam by way of RNAcentral. Lineage: Eukaryota; Metazoa; Mollusca; Bivalvia; Myida; Dreissenidae.
GCCUACGUGGCCAAAUGGAUAAGGCACCGGCCUCCUAAGCCGGGGAUGGCGGGUUCGAGUCCCUCCGGAGGUU